CCUACGGGCGGCUGCAGUGGGGAAUAUUGGACAAUGGGCGAAAGCCUGAUCCAGCCAUGCCGCGUGUGUGAAGAAGGCCUUCGGGUUGUAAAGCACUUUCAGUGGGGAAGAAAGCCUUGGGGCUAAUACCCUCGAGGAAGGACAUCACCCACAGAAGAAGCACCGGCUAACUCCGUGCCAGCAGCCGCGGUAAUACGGAGGGUGCGAGCGUUAAUCGGAAUUACUGAGCGUAAAGCGCGCGUAGGCGGUCUGAUAAGCCGGUUGUGAAAGCCCCGGGCUCAACCUGGGAACGGCAUCCGGACCUGUCAGGCUAGAGGGCAGGAGAGGAAGGUAGAAUUCCCGGUGUAGCGGUGAAAUGCGUAGAGAUCGGGAGGAAUACCAGUGGCGAAGGCGGCCUUCUGGACUGACACUGACGCUGAGGUGCGAAAGCGUGGGUAGCAAACAGGAUUAGAUACCCUUGUAGUC
Molecule: ribosomal RNA, 465 nt
Filed under: Vreelandella stevensii
Lineage: Bacteria; Pseudomonadati; Pseudomonadota; Gammaproteobacteria; Oceanospirillales; Halomonadaceae
Description: partial 16S ribosomal RNA
Rfam family: Bacterial small subunit ribosomal RNA
Source: RNAcentral